Molecule: ribosomal RNA, 765 nt
Filed under: Flavoplaca sp. 17 UA-2013
Lineage: Eukaryota; Fungi; Ascomycota; Lecanoromycetes; Teloschistales; Teloschistaceae
Description: LSU rRNA
Rfam family: Eukaryotic large subunit ribosomal RNA
Source: RNAcentral
CGGGCGACGCGGCGGUCUAAGUCCCUUGGAACGGGGCGUCAUAGAGGGUGAGAAUCCCGUAUGCGACCGGUGGCUGAGCCCAUGCGAAACCCCUUCGACGAGUCGAGUUGUUUGGGAAUGCAGCUCAAAACGGGUGGUAAAUUUCAUCUAAAGCUAAAUACCGGCCAGAGACCGAUAGCGCACAAGUAGAGUGAUCGAAAGAUGAAAAGCACUUUGGAAAGAGAGUCAAAAAGUACGUGAAAUUGUUGAAAGGGAAGCGCUUGCAACCAGACCUGCCCGCGGGUGCUCCGCCGUCCUUCUGGGCGGCGUACUCGCCCGCGAUCAGGCCAGCAUCGGUUCGGGCGGUCGGAUAAAGGCCCUGGGAACGUAGCUCCUCUCGGGGAGUGUUAUAGCCCAAGGUGCAAUGCGACCCGCCCGGACCGAGGACCGCGCUUCGGCGAGGAUGCUGGCGUAAUGGUUGUAAGCGGCCCGUCUUGAAACACGGACCAAGGAGUCGACCAACUCUGCGAGUGUUUGGGCGUCAAACCCACACGCGCAAUGAAAGUGAACGGAGGUGGGAACCCCUUCGCGGGGGCGCACCAUCGACCGAUCCAGAUGUCUUCGGAUGGAUUUGAGUACGAGCAUGGCUGGUCGGACCCGAAAGAUGAUGAACUAUGCCUGGAUAGGGUGAAGCCAGAGGAAACUCUGGUGGAGGCUCGCAGCGGUUCUGACGUGCAAAUCGAUCGUCAAAUUUGGGCAUAGGGGCGAAAGACUAAUCGAAUCAUC